This 253-nucleotide ribosomal RNA is filed under the name uncultured bacterium. Its description in RNAcentral is "partial 16S ribosomal RNA". It matches the Rfam family "Bacterial small subunit ribosomal RNA", at positions 524 to 776 of the family's 1533-position model. The record is from RNAcentral.
GACAGAGGAGCCAAGCGUUGUCCGGAUUGACUGGGCGUAAAGCGCACGCAGGCGGUCGCGCGCGUGGGGUGUGAAAUCUGGCCGCUUAACGGCCAGGCGCCAUCCCAUACGGCGCGACUGGAGUGAUGCAGAGGUCGAUGGAAUUGCCGGUGUAGUGGUGAAAUGCGUAGAGAUCGGCAGGAACACCCAGGGGGAAACCAGUCGACUGGGCAUCUACUGACGCUGAGGUGCGAGAGCGUGGGGAGCGAACCGG